This 474-nucleotide ribosomal RNA is filed under the name uncultured bacterium. RNAcentral describes it as "bacterial SSU rRNA". It matches the Rfam family "Bacterial small subunit ribosomal RNA", at positions 215 to 706 of the family's 1533-position model. The record is from RNAcentral.
GCGCAGUAUAAGGGCUUAUUUAGUAUUAUGGUAGUUGGUUAUGUUAAAAGCUAACCAAGCCUUAGAUGCUUAGCAGGCUUUAACGAGUGAUCUGCCACAACGGGCUUGAAAUAGUGCCUGAACAUUUAUGGCAGCAGUAAAGAAUCUUGGGCAAUGCAUUCAAGUGUGACCCAGCAAGUCUCCGUGGAUGAUGAAGAUAUUAAAUUAUAUUGUAAAAUUCUAUCUUUUUAUAUUUAUAAUGAAAUAUAAAAAGGAAAGCACAGGCUAAAUUCGUGCCAGCAGCCGCGGUAAUACGGAUUGUGCAAGUCUUUGACCUCGUGACUAGGUGUAAAAGGCCACAUAGGAGGUUAUAUAAGUUAUUGAGUAAAUACAGGGUAUAAACCUUGGAAUCUCAAUAAAACUUUAUAACUAGAAUAUAAAAGGGGUUUAAGAUAUCUUCUAAGUAAAGGUGAAAUUUGUAGAAAUAGAAGGGAU